RNAcentral lists this transfer RNA (57 nucleotides) under Mansonella sp. Its description in RNAcentral is "tRNA-His". Lineage: Eukaryota; Metazoa; Nematoda; Chromadorea; Rhabditida; Onchocercidae. The record is from RNAcentral.
UAAUUUUUUAGUUUAUUUAAAAAUAUUUAGUUGUGGUCUAAAAGAUUUGAAAAUUUU